RNAcentral lists this ribosomal RNA (254 nucleotides) under uncultured bacterium. RNAcentral's name for it is "partial 16S ribosomal RNA". It matches the Rfam family "Bacterial small subunit ribosomal RNA", at positions 524 to 776 of the family's 1533-position model. The record is from RNAcentral.
UACGUAGGGACCAAGCGUUGUUCGGAUUUACUGGGCGUAAAGGGCGCGUAGGCGGCAAAUUAAGUCAUCUGUGAAACCUCCGAGCUUAACUCGGAACGGUCAGGUGAUACUGAUCUGCUAGAGUGCGGAAGGGGCAAUCGGAAUUCUUGGUGUAGCGGUGAAAUGCGUAGAUAUCAAGAGGAACACCUGAGGUGAAGACGGGUUGCUGGGCCGACACUGACGCUGACAGCGCGAAAGCCAGGGGAGCAAACGGG